CAACCCUCAGGCCCUGCCUGGCGUUGGAGGACUGCGCCUGCAGCCUCCCAAAGCGAGCGGCGGCGUCGCCCCGAACUCGAACGCAGUAGUUUUCUCUCGUUCUGGGUCCGAGGCGCUGUCCUGCCGGAAAACCCCCAUCUUUUACAU
This 147-nucleotide unclassified non-coding RNA is filed under the name uncultured Sordariomycetes. RNAcentral describes it as "sequence contains ITS2". The record is from RNAcentral. Lineage: Eukaryota; Fungi; Ascomycota; Sordariomycetes.